Molecule: ribosomal RNA, 292 nt
Filed under: uncultured bacterium
Lineage: Bacteria
Description: partial 16S ribosomal RNA
Rfam family: Archaeal small subunit ribosomal RNA
Source: RNAcentral
GUGCCAGCCGCCGCGGUAAUACCGGCAGCCCGAGUGAUGGCCGAUAUUAUUGGGCCUAAAGCGUCCGUAGCUGGCCGAACAAGUCCGUCGGGAAAUCCACGUGCUUAACGCGUGGGCGACCGGCGGAAACUGUCCGGCUUGGGGCCGGAGGACCCGAGGGGUACGUCCGGGGUAGGAGUGAAAUCCUGUAAUCCUGGACGGACCACCAAUGGGGAAACCACCUCAGGAGAACGGACCCGACGGUGAGGGACGAAAGCUAGGGUCUCGAACCGGAUUAGAAACCCUUGUAGUC